Molecule: long non-coding RNA, 2614 nt
Organism: Meleagris gallopavo (turkey)
Lineage: Eukaryota; Metazoa; Chordata; Aves; Galliformes; Phasianidae
Source: Ensembl
UGCUUUGCGUUUAAGGGUAUUUUUUCAAUCAAGUGCUCUAUUGUAAUGAAUUUUGUUUCAACCCCAAUUACCAAAAAAAAAAAAAAAGGGAGGGAAUCCCCAACCCAAUGGUAAUAAAUAAAUAAAUAAACACCCCACCAAAAGAUCCCUCCCCCAGCUCCGAAAUUUAAUUAAUGACUAAGAACACCAGUAAAUCCCAGGGGAAGGAGAGGUGGUGCGUUGGCCCCGCGCCGUGCUGAGGGUGUUGGUGCCGUGUGCCCAGGGAGGUUUUAUACCUUUGGGCCUCGUCGAGGGAGUGCGGGGGGAGGCCGGAUUAGGGGCUAGGCUAAGUUUGUAUGACAAGGGCAACGGGAUUGAGAGGGGCUGAUGGUUUAAGCACCCUCUAAGUAGCCAGUUGGCCCCAAAACCUGCAUUAAAGCGUAUUAAUUGGCAAUAAGUGUUUAACGUUGUUUAAGGAGUUGUGGGAGGAAGGAAAGGGCUUGGGGAGACCUUUGGAAAAGGGGCAAUGGCAGGAGGAGAGGUGGUGAGUUGGGGAGCGGGUUCUUUGGAUGACUGAUGGGAGAAAUGGGUCUCUGCUUGAGUCCAUGUUGGAUCACAGCCUUUGGGGCAUCCCUGGGUCAACCUGUGUUUGGGGCCUGAGGGGUACCCAGCUCUGCUUCACUGCCCUUGGGAAAGUUGCUGGGGGGAAGAGCAGAGAGAGAUCGGCCACACUGUGCUUCAGGUGCCUGGUUCAGUGUGAGCACCACGUGGUUUGGGUUCGUGUUUCCAUCACAACUGGGCUCUGCCUGUGUGAGUAAGGGCCCCUACAUGUACAGCACUGGGCAAAGGCAGGAGGGGAAGUUGCUGCCAGCCCAAAGGCUGCCAUCUUGGUUAACAGAACGUCUGGGGGGCAGUUGGGCUGUGCUGCACCCUGAUUGCACUAGAGUGCAAAGGGCUGGAUAUCCUCUUCUGUCUUCCUCCUGGUCUUCCGAGGAGGUGGUGAUGAUCAUCUCCCACCUGCACCUCCUCCCCGUCCCAGCUAAUGCAUGGUACGACUUUGGCUUCAUGCUUGGCACCCAGACACCUUUCACAUGCAGGAUUGCCAACAGUGGGACCAAGAGGACUUUCUCUUGGACUUCUUCCACUCUGGGGAGCUGAACACGAGGCAGGUAAGCCCGAGCCACACGUGUCCUGCUGGAGGGUCUGAACGUGGCUCUGUCCCUUCCCAGCUGUCCUCGAGGACCCAGCUUUCUCCCUCACAAGCUGAGGUUGGUGUUUUGGCUGAUCCUCCGAGGUCGGAGUCGAUGUGGAUUUAGAGCUCUCUGCAGGUCAGCAGCCAGCAGAGCAAUGCUGAAGGCCUCGAAUCAACUCUGCAGAAGAAAAUGAUACCGGGGAGGUUAGCUGGUUCCUCCAGGACGUGUCCUGAAUGCAACCUCGCUUCCUUCGGUGUCCCUGUCACAGAAAUGGAAAGUGAUGGCUUUAAUUUGGUGUCUCUUAGCAGGGAAACUUUACGGGCUGUCUCCCAGAGAGCUCUCAAUUGCUUUCUGUGCCAAAUCUAUGACAAAGAAAGCAACAGCAAAAUCCAGGCCCUGUUUAAUGCAGGAGGAGAGGCUUGUUUCUUUGUGUUUGUCCUUAAGAAAAGGAAGGCUUUCUUCCCUCAUGCAGGCUUUUCUGCUUUGCUAAGCUCUUUGAGAUGAGAUUCUCUUAUUCAUUGUUUGUCAGCACAUUGCGUGAAGGAGCCCUGAGCUUCUCUGGGCUUUCAUGUCCCGUGUAAAGCAAGAAAUGAUAAUUAUAAUCAAAUAACCGAGCUGAUACGGUUGGUUCAUCAGGCUUCAGUAACACAGCCGUGGGAGGGGGUGGCUAGGAGCCCUCUGCUGCCCCUGUCCUUGUGCAAGGCAGCAUGCUGCUUGCUGCUGCUUGGGCAAAAGCGAAGGAGCAACUUGCCCAGGGAAACAUGGAAUGAUCCGCAGAGCAAGGGAAUGUGAAAGCAACAGAAGUCAGUCCUGAGGCAAGCGGUUGGGCUGAAAUUCCAUUGAUAGACUAAUGCACGGGACUUUAAACCUCGGCCACGAGCACCAGAUACAAACACUGAAUACAAAAUGAUGUUGCGUUUGCUUCUGUGCUUUUGCAUGGUUCUGCAGUGCACUGCUCUGCACUGCUCCUCUGGAGGGGCUCCUUCCUCCUCAUGGGCAUUUGACCCUGGAAGACCUCACCUCCCCAUAUCAGAUAGCAGCCGCGUGCGGCCGCUGCACUGAGCUGCUUACGCCAGGCUGUGAGCUCCCUUACCAGGAAAGGGGUUAAAGCGAGAUAAAGCCGGAGUGUUAUGGAGACCAUAUGGAGGGGAAGAAAACCCUUUAUCCUGUAAUUGGAUUCAUUCCCAGCAGCUCCUGGUGGAGGUGAGGCUGAGUGGAGCUGACAGGACGUGAUGGGUGAGGCGCUGCCAGCUGCCCCGUCCAAAGCAGGAUGUGUGCACACAAACUUGGAGAUCAAUCCAGGAGAUCAAAUAGGUUUAAAUGUGUGGCAGAGAGGAGGAAAGAGAUGCAUCUGCAGUUUGGUCUGGUCGGCUGCUCCUUGCCCAGGAUGGGUUAACUCAGCUGUGGCUGUUUGCUGUUCCUCUGGGCUGGCACAGCUGCAU